GGAUGUGAGGGCGAUCUGGCUGCGACAUCUGUCACCCCAUUGAUCGCCAGGGUUGAUUCGGCUGAUCUGGCUGGCUAGGCAGGUGUCCCCCUCCUCCCUCACCGAUCCAUGUGCGUCCCUCCCGAAGCUGCGCGCUCGGUCGAAGAGGACGACCUCCCCCCCCCCCCCCACACCCCGAGGAGAGGACUGGUCUUCAGUCAAGGGUAUACGAGUAGCUGCGCUCCCCUGCUAGAACCUCCAAACAAGCUCUCAAGGUCCUCGGCUUUGACUCCUAGUCUCUUCUCUCAUCACUAAUUUUUUUCUUUAUUUUUAUCAUUGAUACUAUUACAGAU
Molecule: unclassified non-coding RNA, 332 nt
Organism: Myotis lucifugus (little brown bat)
Lineage: Eukaryota; Metazoa; Chordata; Mammalia; Chiroptera; Vespertilionidae
Gene: 7SK
Rfam family: 7SK RNA
About the family: 7SK was discovered as an abundant small nuclear RNA in the mid-70s but a possible function has only recently been suggested. Two independent studies have found that 7SK RNA binds the CDK9/cyclin T complex (known as elongation factor P-TEFb). P-TEFb activates transcription by phosphorylating the C-terminal domain of RNA polymerase II.
Source: Ensembl